Sphaeramia orbicularis (orbiculate cardinalfish) is the source of this 157-nucleotide long non-coding RNA. RefSeq lists it as uncharacterized. The record is from RefSeq and is a predicted model, not a curated record. The transcript is spliced from 3 exons. NCBI's taxonomy places the organism in Eukaryota, Metazoa, Chordata, Actinopteri, Kurtiformes, Apogonidae.
AAUAGAAUAGACUUUAUUUGAAUAGAAUAGACUUUAUUUGCCAUUUGCACAGACACAUAACAGUAUAGGCACACUGGAAUUCUUGUGCGUUUCCCUGAGUCGGAAAAGGGAGCUUGAACAUAAAGUAAAGGUAUGACAAAAAACAGGCAGACACAAA